This 408-nucleotide ribosomal RNA is filed under the name Fusobacteriota bacterium. RNAcentral describes it as "Fusobacteria bacterium partial 16S ribosomal RNA". It matches the Rfam family "Bacterial small subunit ribosomal RNA", at positions 355 to 776 of the family's 1533-position model. The record is from RNAcentral. Lineage: Bacteria; Fusobacteriati; Fusobacteriota.
UGGGGGAUAUUGCACAAUGGACGGAAGCCUGAUGCAGCAACGCCGCGUGCGGGAUGACGGCCUUCGGGUUGUAAACCGCUUUUUCUCAUGACGAAGUUUUUUGACGGUAGUGGGGGAAGAAGCACCGGCUAACUACGUGCCAGCAGCCGCGGUGAUACGUAGGGUGCGAGCGUUGUCCGGAAUUAUUGGGCGUAAAGAGCUUGUAGGCGGUUUGUCGCGUCGAUAGUGCAAACUCAGUGCUUAACGCUGAGCCUGCUGUUGAUACGGGCAGACUAGAGGAAGGUAGGGGAGAAUGGAAUUCCCGGUGGAGCGGUGGAAUGCGCAGAUAUCGGGAGGAACACCGGUGGCGAAGGCGGUUCUCUGGGCCUUUCCUGACGCUGAGAAGCGAAAGCGUGGGGAGCGAACAGG